GCGGCCGCCAGCCCAGUUCCUCUUGUGCCCUUGGCGCUUGGACAGCGGGCGUAGCUGAAGGAGGUACCAGGCGGGAGCCGCCGGCCCCGGGAGCACGCGCCUGCACAGGGGUGAAGAACUUCGUCCGUUGGCGUUUGGAGGAUGAAGACGAAGCUACAGACAGAGAGGUUCCAACCUGGACCAUGUGGCGGUGAGAAGGAACUGGAGAGGCGUUUGGUCCACCCCGCUCUUUAUCCCCUCAGGUCGGAGGCACAAGAUAAACAGUGUUCAACACUGAAGAUCUAGAAUGGAGCGAUGCCCUCUGCCCUUCUUCAGGAUAAGGGAGUAAAAAAAUGAAUUCCUUCAUAAAAACCAACCCAACAUGUAGACAGACAACAAAGGGAAAAUUUAACUACUGAAAUAUUCAAAUAUCAG
Long non-coding RNA from Dermochelys coriacea (leatherback sea turtle), 414 nucleotides. RefSeq lists it as uncharacterized. The transcript has 4 exons. Lineage: Eukaryota; Metazoa; Chordata; Testudines; Dermochelyidae. The record is from RefSeq and is a predicted model, not a curated record.